GACGAACGCUGGCGGCGUGCCUAAUACAUGCAAGUUGAGCGAUGAAGAUUGGUGCUUGCACCAAUUUGAAGAGCAGCGAACGGGUGAGUAACGCGUGGGGAAUCUGCCUUUGAGCGGGGGACAACAUUUGGAAACGAAUGCUAAUACCGCAUAACAACUUUAAACAUAAGUUUUAAGUUUGAAAGAUGCAAUUGCAUCACUCAAAGAUGAUCCCUCGUUGUAUUAGCUAGUUGGUGAGGUAAAGGCUCACCAAGGCGAUGAUACAUAGCCGACCUGAGAGGGUGAUCGGCCACAUUGGGACUGAGACACGGCCCAAACUCCUACGGGAGGCAGCAGGAGGGAAUCUUCGGCAAUGGACGAAAGUCUGACCGAGCAACGCCGCGGGAGUGAAGAAGGGUUUCGGAUCGUAAAACUCUGUUGGUAGAGAAGAACGUUGGUGAGAGUGGAAAGCUCAUCAAGUGACGGUAACUACACAGAAAGGGACGGCUAACUACGUG
Molecule: ribosomal RNA, 497 nt
Filed under: uncultured bacterium
Lineage: Bacteria
Description: partial 16S ribosomal RNA
Rfam family: Bacterial small subunit ribosomal RNA
Source: RNAcentral